RNAcentral lists this transfer RNA (65 nucleotides) under Rivellia apicalis. Its description in RNAcentral is "tRNA-Gly". It matches the Rfam family "tRNA". From Rfam's summary of the family: Transfer RNA (tRNA) molecules are approximately 80 nucleotides in length. Their secondary structure includes four short double-helical elements and three loops (D, anti-codon, and T loops). Lineage: Eukaryota; Metazoa; Arthropoda; Insecta; Diptera; Platystomatidae. The record is from RNAcentral.
AUCUAUAUAGUAUAUAAGUAUAUUUGACUUCCAAUCAUAAGGUCUAUUAUUAAAUAGUAUAGAUA